RNAcentral lists this long non-coding RNA (249 nucleotides) under Elaeis guineensis (African oil palm). RNAcentral's name for it is "long non-coding RNA (EGUI_LNC020038)". Lineage: Eukaryota; Viridiplantae; Streptophyta; Magnoliopsida; Arecales; Arecaceae. The record is from RNAcentral.
GGAGAGAUCCGAUACAUAUCCAGUUUUAAGAGUAAUUUGAUUUCACCAAGCAGACUGGAUUCAAAUAGCUACAGAUAAAGAGCUGAUGAUGGAAUCCUGAAUGUUAUGCAUGGUAGUAGGGUUGUUAUGAAGGGGAAGAAGUGUAGAGGACACUACUUCUUGAUAGGGAGCUCAAUGUGAGGUGGAGCUUCAGGUGUCAGUGGGAGCUCAGCAUGAGAUAGAGCUUUAGGUACAAGUAGAUUGGGCAUG